This 815-nucleotide small RNA is filed under the name Pongo abelii (Sumatran orangutan). Its description in RNAcentral is "retained intron". The record is from RNAcentral. Lineage: Eukaryota; Metazoa; Chordata; Mammalia; Primates; Hominidae.
CCUCCGCUACCGCGGGCCGGAACUUUUGUCGAUAGGAACGGGUUUGCACAGUUGAGUGUUGUCGGCCGGCGUGAAGGAGACUAGGGGGCCAUCCUCUUCCUUUCGCCGUCGCCGCCGCGGAGCGGAGUCGAGCCGAGCUGAUUUGAUCGAGGAGCGCGGUUACCGGACGGGCUGGGUCUAUGGUCGCUCCGCGGGCCGCUCCGCCGGCUGGUGCUUUUUUAUCAGGGCAAGCUGUGUUCCAUGGCAGGGAACUUUUGGCAGAGCUCCCACUAUUUGCAAUGGAUUUUGGAUAAACAAGAUCUGUUGAAGGAGCGCCAAAAGGAUUUAAAGUUUCUCUCAGAGGAAGAAUAUUGGAAGUUACAAAUAUUUUUUACAAAUGUUAUCCAAGCAUUAGGUGAACAUCUUAAAUUAAGACAACAAGUUAUUGCCACUGCUACGGUAUAUUUCAAGAGAUUCUAUGCCAGGUAUUCUCUGAAAAGUAUAGAUCCUGUAUUAAUGGCUCCUACAUGUGUGUUUUUGGCAUCCAAAGUAGAGGAAUUUGGAGUAGUUUCAAAUACAAGAUUGAUUGCUGCUGCUACUUCUGUAUUAAAAACUAGAUUUUCAUAUGCCUUUCCAAAGGAAUUUCCUUAUAGGAUGAAUCAUAUAUUAGAAUGUGAAUUCUAUCUUUUAGAACUAAUGGUAAGUAAAUCUUCUGUGAUUAAUAGAUUAAAACAUUUUUAAAUUAAAUGAAGUUGGAAAUUAUUUAAAGAAAUGAUUUUAGAGAGGUACAUUUUAAAACCAUCCACCUGAUAUGUGAUGGUGAAAUCAUGGUAGCC